UACGGAGGGGGCUAGCGUUGCUCGGAAUCACUGGGCGUAAAGCGCACGUAGGCGGACUCUUAAGUCGGUGGUGAAAUCCUGGAGCUCAACUCCAGAACUGCCUUCGAUACUGAGAGUCUCGAGUCCGAGAGAGGUGAGUGGAACUGCGAGUGUAGAGGUGAAAUUCGUAGAUAUUCGCAAGAACACCAGUGGCGAAGGCGGCUCACUGGCUCGGUACUGACGCUGAGGUGCGAAAGCGUGGGGAGCAAACAGG
RNAcentral lists this ribosomal RNA (253 nucleotides) under uncultured bacterium. RNAcentral's name for it is "partial 16S ribosomal RNA". It matches the Rfam family "Bacterial small subunit ribosomal RNA", at positions 524 to 776 of the family's 1533-position model. The record is from RNAcentral.